GGUUCGAUCCUGGCUCAGAUUGAACGCUGGCGGGAUGCUUUACACAUGCAAGUCGAACGGCGGCACGGACUUCGGUCUGGUGGCGAGUGGCGAACGGGUGAGUAAUGUAUCGGAACGUGCUAGUAGCGGGGGAUAACUACGCGAAAGCGUAGCUAAUACCGCAUACGCCCUUCGAAGGGGAAAAGCGGGGGACCUUCGGGCCUCGCACUAUUAGAGCGACCGAUAUCGGAUUAGCUAGUUGGUGGGGUAACGGCUCACCAAGGCGACGAUCAACAACUGGUUUGAGAGGACGACCAGCCACACUGGGACUGAGACACGGCCCAGACUCUACGGGAGGCAGCAGUGGGAAUUUUUGGACAAUGGAAACCUGAUCCAGCCAUCCCGCGUGUGCGAUGAAGGCCUUCGGAGUUGUAAAGCACUUUUGGCAGGAAAGAAACGGCACGGGAUAAUACCCCGUGCAACUGACGGUACCUGCAGAAUAAAGCACCGGCUAACUACGUACCAGCAGCCGCGGUAAUACGUAGGGUGCAAGCGUUAAUCGGAAUUACUGGGCGUAAAGCGUGCGCAGGCGGUUCGGAAAGAAGAUGUGAAAUCCAGAGCUUAACUUUGGAACUGCAUUUUUAACUACCGAGCUAGAGUGUGUCAGAGGGAGGUGGAAUUCCGCGUGUAGCAGUGAAAUGCGUAGAUAUGCGGAGGAACACCGAUGGCGAAGGCAGCCUCCUGGGAUAACACUGACGCUCAUGCACGAAAGCGUGGGAGCAAACGGGAUUAGAUACCCUGGUAGUCCACGCCUAAACGAUGUCAACUAGCUGUUGGGGCCUUCGGGCCUUGGUAGCGCAGCUAACGCGUGAAGUUGACCGCCUUACAGAAUUACGGUCGCAGAUUAAAACUCAAAGGAAUUGACAGGGACCCGCACAAGCGGUGGAUGAUGUGGAUUAAUUCGAUGCAACGCGAAAACCUUACCUACCCUUGACAUGUCUGGAAUCCCGAAGAGAUUGGGAGUGCUCGCAAGAACCGGAACACAGGUGCUGCAUGGCUGUCGUCAGCUCGUGUCGUGAGAUGUUGGGUUAAGUCCCGCAACGAGCGCAACCCUUGUCAUUAGUUGCUACGAAAGGGCACUCUAAUGAGACUGCCGGUGACAGACCGGAGGAAGGUGGGGAUGACGUCAAGUCCUCAUGGCCCAUAUGGGUAGGGCUUCACACGUCAUACAAUGGUCGGGACGGAGAGGGGUCGCCAACCCCGCGAGGGGGAGCCAAUCCCGAAACCCGAUCACGGCUAGUCCGGAUCGCGGUCUGCAACUCGACUGCGUGAAGUCGGAGAUCGCUAGUAAUCGCGGAUCAGCAUGUCGCGGUGAAUACGUUCGGGUCUUGUACACACCGCCCGUCACACCAUGGGAGUGGGUUUACCAGAAGUAGUUAGCCUAACCGUAAGGAGGGCGAUUACCACGGGCGAGAUUCAUGACUGGGGUGAAGUCGUAACAAGGUAG
RNAcentral lists this ribosomal RNA (1486 nucleotides) under uncultured Bordetella sp. RNAcentral's name for it is "partial 16S-23S ribosomal RNA intergenic spacer". It matches the Rfam family "Bacterial small subunit ribosomal RNA". The record is from RNAcentral. Lineage: Bacteria; Pseudomonadati; Pseudomonadota; Betaproteobacteria; Burkholderiales; Alcaligenaceae.